AGAGUUUGAUCCUGGCUCAGGACGAACGCUGGCGGCGUGCCUAAUACAUGCAAGUCGUACGCUUCUUUUUCCACCGGAGCUUGCUCCACCGGAAAAAGAAGAGUGGCGAACGGGUGAGUAACACGUGGGUAACCUGCCCAUCAGAAGGGGAUAACACUUGGAAACAGGUGCUAAUACCGUAUAACAAUCGAAACCGCAUGGUUUUGAUUUGAAAGGCGCUUUCGGGUGUCGCUGAUGGAUGGACCCGCGGUGCAUUAGCUAGUUGGUGAGGUAACGGCUCACCAAGGCCACGAUGCAUAGCCGACCUGAGAGGGUGAUCGGCCACAUUGGGACUGAGACACGGCCCAAACUCCUACGGGAGGCAGCAGUAGGGAAUCUUCGGCAAUGGACGAAAGUCUGACCGAGCAACGCCGCGUGAGUGAAGAAGGUUUUCGGAUCGUAAAACUCUGUUGUUAGAGAAGAACAAGGAUGAGAGUAACUGUUCAUCCCUUGACGGUAUCUAACCAGAAAGCCACGGCUAACUACGUGCCAGCAGCCGCGGUAAUACGUAGGUGGCAAGCGUUGUCCGGAUUUAUUGGGCGUAAAGCGAGCGCAGGCGGUUUCUUAAGUCUGAUGUGAAAGCCCCCGG
RNAcentral lists this ribosomal RNA (628 nucleotides) under Enterococcus sp. Its description in RNAcentral is "bacterial SSU rRNA". It matches the Rfam family "Bacterial small subunit ribosomal RNA", at positions 8 to 607 of the family's 1533-position model. The record is from RNAcentral. Lineage: Bacteria; Bacillati; Bacillota; Bacilli; Lactobacillales; Enterococcaceae.